CGUUCCAGGAUAUCUUCGAGCUGUUCAGCUCCAGCCAGACGGACACCGUGGGCGUGCACAGCCUGCGAGCCGCCCUGCGAGCUGCCGGUAUCCACCUGAGCCCCUGGGAGAUACGCGAGGCCCUGCGGCAGGCAGACCUGGACGGUGACGGAGCUGUAGGCUUCGAAGACUUCCUGGGUGUCUUCACCAACAGCCACCGCCUCGCUCAGUACUUGGGUGAAUGGUGGGGCUGGUGGCGCGGAUGGAUAGGCCCAACCCAGGGAAGGCUCCUCCUCACCCUUCCCCGUGUUCUUGGACACCAGGCCAAGUGAAAGACAUCCAGGUCUGGGACCCCCAAGGCCUGCAGACCCUCUUCCUGGAGACGCUGUGCAAGCUGACGAGGCUGGGCUUUGUGCCCUACAAGUCAGUGCGGGAGGUGAUAAGCUAUUACUCCAAGAACCAGCAGGCUCUGCCACUGACCCUCGGCUGCAGGGGCAGGUCGAGGGACCAAGGCUGCCCAGAGCGCAGGCACCGCGGCCUCAACUUCUAUUGCCAGGCCGAGCGGAUCAGCGGCCUUUCUCACGCCCAGCUGGCGAGCCUGCUGCAUGGACUACACAAAGCGGGUGCACCCCUUGGUGGGGCUGGGGGCACCCGCGCGAGUGGGGGCUCUCCCUCAGGCCCCAUUCUUAGGACUGGCCCCUCCUUUCUCUCUUACUGGCUUCCCCACCCCAGGUUCCUACAGCCCCUACUCUCAGAUACCUAAGUUGGCUCCGAGCUCCGAAGUGCGAUUUCCCAAGUGGUACACCUCCGGCCACCCCUGGCCCAGGACUCACCAGAGGCAGCGCGACCCAGCUCCCGCAGGGUUCUCGAACCAGCCAGUAGAGGAGACGCGCCGCUGGAAGCUGGCCCCCUCCCCGCCAACGCUAGUGCAAAAGCAGC
This is a long non-coding RNA of Phyllostomus discolor (pale spear-nosed bat), 918 nucleotides long. RefSeq lists it as uncharacterized. The record is from RefSeq and is a predicted model, not a curated record. The transcript has 4 exons. NCBI's taxonomy places the organism in Eukaryota, Metazoa, Chordata, Mammalia, Chiroptera, Phyllostomidae.